GCAUUGAUGACAAUAGAGAAGAAGAACACAGUUGGGCUGGUCAUAUGUUGACUUCUGGACAUAUGUUUCAACACCUAGAGACAGUUUACAUUGCGCGUUUCAGUGGGAAUGCGAGGCAGAUGAGAUGGGUGAAACUGAUAUUGAAGACUGCAAAUGCUUUGAAAGCUGUUACACUAAGUUUAAGAAGUGGUGAUGCGAUAAAUAAGGAAGCACUUAUGUCAGACUUACAAAGUCUUCCUAGAGGCUCCGAUGGAUGUGAGUUUAAGUUUAAAGAGUACUGAUUAUUGAAGGCACAUCUCGACUGUUAGAUUUACCCUGGCAUUUAAACUGAAAAGCUCAUUCUCUGUAAGACAGGUUAUGUUCUUCCAGAUGAGGGGUAGUCGCUUCUGCAAGUAUCUGAAAGGAAAUUCAUUCGUGUCAGGAUCAGGUUGUUAUUGAUCAAAAAUUCAAUUGCAAAGUUCAGCAUACUGCUUCCAACACCCAUUCGACGAGCACUUAGGGCAACAGUCACAUUCGAGAUUAUGACAUAUCUCUGUGAUUCUCUUUUUUUGUAGGUG
Papaver somniferum (opium poppy) is the source of this 557-nucleotide long non-coding RNA. RefSeq lists it as uncharacterized. The transcript has 3 exons. NCBI's taxonomy places the organism in Eukaryota, Viridiplantae, Streptophyta, Magnoliopsida, Ranunculales, Papaveraceae. The record is from RefSeq and is a predicted model, not a curated record.